Molecule: non-coding RNA, 372 nt
Organism: Paramuricea clavata
Lineage: Eukaryota; Metazoa; Cnidaria; Anthozoa; Malacalcyonacea; Plexauridae
Source: the annotation of a GenBank genome assembly
UAUAUGUUGAAACAGUUUCAAAAUUAAUGUACGACAUUAGUCAUAAUUCAGCACCUAGAAAUGUAAUGGAUCUCUUUACUCAAGUUGCUACUGUUCAUUCCUAUAAUACCAAAUCCUCUACUGCUGGUAAUUAUCAGAUAAAAUCUUCUCGUACAAAUCAACAGCAUAAUGCUUUCUCUAGAGUUGGUGCUAAAGUAUGGAAUUCUGUCCCUGAACAUCUCCGCGAUCUUAAAAAAAAGGAUUUCACUAGUAAGAUUCACACUUUACUAAUCGAAAUUAUGAAUAACGAAGAUGACUAUGUUGAUCUCCCUAUGAUUUUGCAGAGAAUGUCUGUUUGAUCUUAUUUUUAAUAUUUCAUGGGUACGUUAUUAA